AAAUUGAAGAGUUUGAUCAUGGCUCAGAUUGAACGCUGGCGGCAGGCCUAACACAUGCAAGUCGAACGGUAACAGGAAGAAGCUUGCUUCUUUGCUGACGAGUGGCGGACGGGUGAGUAAUGUCUGGGAAACUGCCUGAUGGAGGGGGAUAACUACUGGAAACGGUAGCUAAUACCGCAUAACGUCGCAAGACCAAAGAGGGGGACCUUCGGGCCUCUUGCCAUCGGAUGUGCCCAGAUGGGAUUAGCUUGUUGGUGGGG
RNAcentral lists this ribosomal RNA (260 nucleotides) under Escherichia coli. RNAcentral's name for it is "partial 16S ribosomal RNA". It matches the Rfam family "Bacterial small subunit ribosomal RNA", at positions 1 to 257 of the family's 1533-position model. The record is from RNAcentral. Lineage: Bacteria; Pseudomonadati; Pseudomonadota; Gammaproteobacteria; Enterobacterales; Enterobacteriaceae.